This is a non-coding RNA of Lupinus angustifolius (narrow-leaved blue lupine), 119 nucleotides long. NCBI's taxonomy places the organism in Eukaryota, Viridiplantae, Streptophyta, Magnoliopsida, Fabales, Fabaceae. The record is from Rfam.
AGGUGUGAUCAUACCAACACUAAUGCACCGGAUCCCAUCAGAACUCCGCAGUUAAGCGUGCUUGGGCGAGAGUAGUUCGAGGAUGGGUGACCUCCUGGGAAGUCCUGGUGUUGCACCUC